UUGACGCUGGCGGCGGCUUAACACAUGCAAGUCGAGCGGAGAGAGGUAGCUUGCUACUGAUCUUAGCGGCGGACGGGUGAGUAAUGCUUAGGAAUCUGCCUAUUAGUGGGGGACAACAUUUCGAAAGGAAUGCUAAUACCGCAUACGUCCUACGGGAGAAAGCAGGGGAUCUUCGGACCUUGCGCUAAUAGAUGAGCCUAAGUCGGAUUAGCUAGUUGGUGGGGUAAAGGCCUACCAAGGCGACGAUCUGUAGCGGGUCUGAGAGGAUGAUCCGCCACACUGGGACUGAGACACGGCCCAGACUCCUACGGGAGGCAGCAGUGGGGAAUAUUGGACAAUGGGCGCAAGCCUGAUCCAGCCAUGCCGCGUGUGUGAAGAAGGCCUUAUGGUUGUAAAGCACUUUAAGCGAGGAGGAGGCUACUUUAGUUAAUACCUAGAGAUAGUGGACCGUUACUCGCAGAAUAAAGCACCGGUUAACUYUGUGCCAGCAGCCGCGGUAAUACAAAGGGUGCAAGCGUUAA
RNAcentral lists this ribosomal RNA (521 nucleotides) under Acinetobacter calcoaceticus. Its description in RNAcentral is "bacterial SSU rRNA". It matches the Rfam family "Bacterial small subunit ribosomal RNA", at positions 30 to 543 of the family's 1533-position model. The record is from RNAcentral. Lineage: Bacteria; Pseudomonadati; Pseudomonadota; Gammaproteobacteria; Moraxellales; Moraxellaceae.